Molecule: long non-coding RNA, 735 nt
Organism: Oncorhynchus keta (chum salmon)
Lineage: Eukaryota; Metazoa; Chordata; Actinopteri; Salmoniformes; Salmonidae
Exons: 3
Source: RefSeq, a predicted model, not a curated record
UAGAAUUAAGACAUCCGGGAUAAAUGACUAAGCUGAGCUCAAUGAAGCCAAAACAUGUGCGUCCAGGCUUAAUUGGUUGCACAAAGACCAAGCCAGGAUGAGCAGACACGGAUUCAUUAAGCCGGGUGAAACCAAUCCUGGAUAGGUGCGCGCUCACGGCUCACUCAAAUAGACCCCGCCACAGAUCACAGAUUAACUGAUUUACCAUGGCAACUAGAGCCGCGUACUUUUCCCCGUCGGAAGCACAAAUCCUCAUGGAGGCAUACGAGGAGGUAAAAGAUAUAAUUAAGAAGAAAGGCAACACCGCCACAGUGAUAAAGCAAAGAGAAAAAGCGUGGCAAAGUAUUGCAGACCGCCUGAAUGCCAGUGAAAAAGAAUACCCACAGACAAGGCACGGGUGGUGGGUCACCAAAGGCUGACCUUACCCCAGCAGAGGACAUGGCCUUGGAGCUAAAUAAAGGCAGGCCCGUCUUAGAGGGGAUCCCUGGGGGAAAGAGACGAGCAUAGGUUCCUCCCAAGAUGCCACCCGCUUCAUUCAAGUGUCUGGCAGCACUGUGUUCCUGUUAGAGCCACCAGCACAAGCACCAGACGAUGCUGAUCCAGUGAGUACUCCAUCAAAGGCAUACUGUAGGCCUGGCAUGUCUUGUCUACUAGCUUCAAUAUGAAUCCGAUUAAAUGUGAUAGGGUGAAGGCCCCAGUGCAGCAGCAACAGCACAUGAUGGAGACGAUGAUGAU